Culicoides brevitarsis is the source of this 488-nucleotide long non-coding RNA. RefSeq lists it as uncharacterized. The record is from RefSeq and is a predicted model, not a curated record. The transcript has 3 exons. Lineage: Eukaryota; Metazoa; Arthropoda; Insecta; Diptera; Ceratopogonidae.
UUUUGCUGAGAGAGUUUGUGUUGAUACUGAAAAAACACGAAUACGUGACAAAUAUGUCGGUUGCUUCAAAGAUCAUGAGUUUCAACGAAUGUUCAGAGGAUACGUCGUACAUUUGCAUCAAUCCAAUAGUAAUGAACAGUGCAUAAAAUUAUGUCAUGCUCGACGAUAUGUCUUUGCCGGGACACAAUUUGGUUAUGGCUGCUAUUGUGGAAACCAAGAGCCACGAGGUGCAACUCAUUUAAAAGUUGCUAAUAAACAUUGCGAUACACUUUGUCCAGGGCAUUCUUGGGAAAAAUGCGGCGGAUGGGGGUACAUGACUGUUUAUGAGACGGGCAUUGAACAACUUUUGAUAAGUGAAAAAGGAAAGCUGCUUGAAGAUAGCGACAAUAUUUCCGAUAAAAAAUGGUACAUUGCUUAAAACAAAAUAUUUUAAAUGAAAUUUUGUUUUUUUAAUUGCAGUAUUUCGAAAGAAUCGAAAUUUUAUACAA